AGAGUGUAUGGCGGAUGCCUAGACAUAAGAAAACGAAGAAGGACGUAGCAGCCUGCGAUAAGCUGCGGUGAGGUGGCAAGCAACCUUUGACCCGCAGAUCUCCGAAUGGGGAAACCCACUCCGUUGUUGACGGAGUAAGCGCUGCCGUUUGGUGGCGCUGGAAGACCCGGCAAACUGAAACAUCUUAGUAGCCGGAGGAAAAGAAAACAAAAGUGAUUCCCUUAGUAGUGGCGAGCGAACGGGGAGGAGCCUAAACCUGCCGAACUGCGGUUUUGAUCCAGCUUGCUGGGGAGAAAUCAGAAGGUUCUAGAACUAUAUGUUCCGCAGGGGUUGCAAGACAGCAUGUCUGUUCUCUAGAUUGAACAGAGCAGAGUCAUAAAAAAUAAUCUUUAGCAGAAGCGAGUUGGAAAACUCAGCCAGAGUGGGUGAUAGCCCCGUAAGCGAAAAGGAUUAUUUCUCUGUCGUGCUUGUUCUUAAGUAGUGCGGGACUCGUGAAAUCCCGUAUGAAUCCGGGUCGACUAUGACCCAAGGCUAAAUAUUUCUUAUGAUCGAUAGUGAACCAGUACCGUGAGGGAAAGGUGAAAAGCAUCCCGAGAGGGAGGUGAAAUAGUACCUGAAACCAUAUACUUACAAAGAGUCGGAGCCGCGCUUGCGCGGUGACGGCGUGCCUAUUGAAGAAUGAGCCAACGAGUUUGUUCUAUGUGGCUUACAUAAUCUCCUCCGGAGAGUAUGUGUAGUGAAAGCGAGGGUUAAUAGCCCGCAUUGCACUUCACUUUUACGCAUUAAGCAAUUAGUGCGUUAAAGUGAAGUACACGUCGCAUGGACAAGACCCGAAGCCGGGUGAUCUAACCAUGUCCAGGUUGAACUCUGUCGAAAGGCAGAGGAAGGACCGAACCCACGAGCCGUGCAACACUCGGGGAUGAGAGGUGGUUAGCGCAGAAAUUGUAAUCGAACUCGGCAAUAGCUGGUUCUCCUCGAAAUAGUUUUUGGACUAGCCUCGAGUGCUGACUGCGGGGGGUAGAGCACUGGAUGAGGGCGGGUCGCAAGAUACCGUCUUCAAUCAAACUCCGAAUACCCGUAGGUGCAGCUCGGGAGUCAGACCAUGGGCGCUAAGGUUCAUCGGUCAAAAGGGAAACAGCCCAGACCACAAUCUAAGGUCCCUAAAUAUAAGCUAAGUGUAAAAGGUGGUGUUGUGACCGCGACAAUUAGGAGGUUGGCUUAGAAGCAGCCAUCCUUUAAAGAUAGCGUAAUAGCUCACUAAUCAAGUUGUUUCGCGCCGAAAAUUUACCGGGGCUAAGCAUAUUACCGAAGAUGUGGACUCUAUGAUUUAUCGUAGAGUGGUAGAGGAGCAUUCUCUUCAGCGUUGAAGUCGUGUCGUGAGGCAUGGUGGAGCGGAGAGAAGUGAGAAUGUUGGCAUGAGUAGCAGAAAGGCGGGUUAAAAUCCCGCCCACCGAAAAUCUAAGGUUUCCUGGGCAACGAGAAUCGACCCAGGGUUAGUCGAUCCUAAGGUGUAUCUAAUGUAGUGUUAGAAUAACCGAUGGAAGAGCUGGUUAAUAUUCCAGCACUACUGUGUUUUUCCGAAGGAGGGACGCGGUUCUAAAGUUUGAGCGGGCACUGGUAUGUCCGUUGGGGGUUUCAAGAGGCGGCCUAGGCAAAUCCGGGCCAACAGCUUCAAGAAACAGCCAGAAGAUGAAGUCGCAAGAUGGAGUCAAUUCAAGUGGCAGAGCCGACGAGAAAAACUUCUAGGGCUAAGGGCACAGUAUCCGUACCGUAAACCGACACAGGUAGAUGAGGCGAGAAGCCUAAGGUGUACGAGAGAACCUUCGCUAAGGAACUCGGCAAAACAGCGGCCGUAAUUUCGAGAUAAGGCCUGCCCUGCGCAAGCAGGGCCGCAGCUAAAGAGCUCAAGGGACUGUUUAUCAAAAACACAGCUCUCUGCUAACUCGCAAGAGGAUGUAUAGAGGGUGAGGCCUGGCCAGUGUCCGAACGUUAAGAGGAGAGGUUAGCCCUUCGGGGCAAAGCUUUGAAUCCAAGCGCGGAUGAACGCCGGCGAUAACUAUAAUCGUCCUAAGGUUUUGCGGUUUAUCAUAUAGACCGCAAAAGACUGGGACGAUUAUAAAUUGAUAAAUAACAAAGUUCGUUGCCUAGCUAUGGCGAAAGCCAUGGUUGUCUAAAAUACUCAG
This 2183-nucleotide ribosomal RNA is filed under the name activated sludge metagenome. RNAcentral's name for it is "bacterial LSU rRNA". It matches the Rfam family "Bacterial large subunit ribosomal RNA", at positions 14 to 1990 of the family's 2925-position model. The record is from RNAcentral.